This 378-nucleotide ribosomal RNA is filed under the name uncultured bacterium. RNAcentral describes it as "partial 16S ribosomal RNA". It matches the Rfam family "Bacterial small subunit ribosomal RNA", at positions 338 to 733 of the family's 1533-position model. The record is from RNAcentral.
CCUACGGGAGGCAGCAGUGGGGAAUAUUGCUCAAUGGGGGAAACUCUGAAGCAGCAACGCCGCGUGGAGGAUGAAGGUUUUCGGAGUGGAAACUCCUUUUGUGAGAGAAGAUAAUGACGGUAUCUGACGAAUAAGCACCGUCUAACUCCGUGCCAGGAGCCGCGGUAAUACGGGGGGUGCAAGCGUUUCCCGGAAUGAGUGGGCGUAAAGAGCGCGUAGGCGGGGUCUCAAGUCAGAUGUGAAAGCCUAUGGCUUAACCAUAGAACUGCAUUUGAAACUGGUAUUCUAGAGUAUUGGAACGGUAGGUGGAAUUCUUGGUGUAGCGGUAAAAUCCGUAGAGAUCAAGAGGAAUACUCAUUGCGAAGGCGACCGGCCAGA